This 236-nucleotide unclassified non-coding RNA is filed under the name plant metagenome. Its description in RNAcentral is "partial contains small subunit ribosomal RNA and internal transcribed spacer 1". The stretch from base 1 to 46 matches the Rfam family "Eukaryotic small subunit ribosomal RNA", at positions 1786 to 1831 of the family's 1831-position model. The record is from RNAcentral.
AAGUCGUAACAAGGUUUCCGUAGGUGAACCUGCGGAAGGAUCAUUAAUGAGUUAGGGUCUCCGGGCCCGACCUCCAACCCUUUGUCGUUACAAAAACCACCGUUGCUUUGGCGGGACCGCCGGCCCUCCGGGGCAGGCUGCCGGUCUCCAGGGACCGUCAAGCUUCCGCCAGAGUCAAACCAAACUCUUGUUUAUACAAACCGUACGUCUGAGUAAAAUGAUUAAAUCAAUCAAAA